AAUGCUUUUAUGCAAUCACUAGACUACUGGCCAAUAAGAUGAUGUGUAGACUGUUUGCAAAAACCUCACAUCCAGGCUGCAAGUUUGUGAGGACAAGUCACAGAAUUUCAAGCCCUUGACAAAAUGCCUACAUGUAACUUUUCUCCGUUACAGAAACCCAGAUCUUGUAACUGCUGGAGUACGUGUGUGUUUGUGUAACUCGUCUUCUCUGUGUGAACUAGAAACCAGGAUGUCAUUUGGCUAUGACAACAAAGCUUGUAUGACCACUGGUUAUUUAAAUAAAAUGUUAAUAAAGUGUUUCUGAUGAUAUUUGUUCUUUUAAUAAAGCUGUGACUGAUUUUA
Bombina bombina (fire-bellied toad) is the source of this 342-nucleotide long non-coding RNA. RefSeq lists it as uncharacterized. The transcript has 3 exons. NCBI's taxonomy places the organism in Eukaryota, Metazoa, Chordata, Amphibia, Anura, Bombinatoridae. The record is from RefSeq and is a predicted model, not a curated record.